This 253-nucleotide ribosomal RNA is filed under the name uncultured bacterium. RNAcentral's name for it is "partial 16S ribosomal RNA". It matches the Rfam family "Bacterial small subunit ribosomal RNA", at positions 524 to 776 of the family's 1533-position model. The record is from RNAcentral.
UACAGAGGUCUCGAGCGUUGUUCGGAUUCAUUGGGCGUAAAGGGCGCGUAGGCGGCGGGGUAAGUCUGGUGUGAAAUCUCGGAGCUCAACUCCGAAAUUGCACUGGAUACUGCUCUGCUAGAGGGCUGGAGAGGAGAUCGGAAUUCACGGUGUAGCAGUGAAAUGCGUAGAUAUCAGGAGGAACACCAAUGGCGAAGGCAGCUCGCUGGGACGUUACUGACGCUGAGACGCGAAAGCGUGGGGAGCAAACAGG